CAUUCAUGGAAGCAUUUGAUUUCAGGUCCUGUUUCCUGAAAAUGUGAAGCUGAUCACACAUUUGACUACUUCAUUGGACUGAGACCAGGGCACAAGGUCUUGGAGAUGGACGUGUUUGUACCGUGCUGACAAACAUCUGCGCCGGGCGAUGAGGUCGCCUUCGCUGACAGGCUCCAUGCUCCACUCAGCUAUUUUAGGACAGGUUAGGGAGCAGCGCAUGGGGGGGAGGUUAUGAUGUGAAAAAAGGUCAGAAGUUUGCCUGCUUGCUCAAACCAGUAAAAUCUGUUUUUAAUCCAAGAAAACACACCAAAACACACGUCUUGGAGAAAAAGGUAUGUUGUAUUUUUCCUGAUCACCGUUUUCCCUGGUGGCAAGUUUCUCAUUCAAAUUUAUAUCCACGGCUUUGUUUAUGGGACUUUACAGAAGGAUUUGCAUGGGUUAGUGAGGAGAGGGAAUACACAGAAACACAGAACCCAUUAAAGCACAUGAGGCUCUGGUGGUUCCCCUCCCCAGCUGCUACGAAGUUUAUUUGCAGGCUGCAGCCUGGAAAAGGGGCUGUGGCCCAUCUGCACCCCGUAUGUAGGAAUUCGUUUCCAACAUAGCCACAGGAGUGUGGGUCCAGCAGACCCUCCCCUAACCUCCUCUCAGAUCCCCCUCCACACUGACUUAAUUGGAGCCAGAGCAGACGCCACCGAGCACUGCGGUGUCAUGGGGCAGGGGCGUCGGGGGCUCGCCUGCACCACUGAUCCUCCCAGGUCCCCCGCCGUUCCCUCCAUCCCCGGCACAACCGUGGGGUUAAACAGCAUUGCAAGCCUUGUGUGGGCCCCCCCGCAUGGGGUGAGCUUCACCCCUAGAGCAAGGCAAGCGUCAUGCUGGAUGGUGGGGCACGAGCGGGAGAUCAAAGAGGGCAGCGCUGUGUUGCUGCACCGCAUCUCUGGGGCUGAGCCUCUGCCCUCUGCAGCUGCGAAGCACAGGCUCCCUGCGCGAUGGCGCGGGCAUUGGGGGGAUGUUGUGAGUAAGCAUCCUGGAAGGAAAAAAAUCAAAGGGUAAUAUUGAGACUGAGGCACGGAAAGGAGAUGGUAUUGCUUAUAUUAGAUCUUGUUCCUGCAGCGUCUUUUGCACAGGAGGAAAAAGUUUCUUUUUGUAUAUUGUGCCUGCCUGGAAGGUGUUGGGAAGGGCUGUCUUAGAGUGGGGAGAGCAAAGGCAUCUUCUAUUUUAAACCUUUGUUAAAGGGAAAGGGACAAGCAUAUGAGGGUAGGAAAAAGAAGAGAUGAACAUUAGCAAACUUAACUGCAAUCAGAAGCAUUUGUGGAGGGGUUUGUCCUGAGAAGGCAAGUGGUAAGGUUUUGAGGGCUCUUUGCUGUUACGCAGAUAUGAAAAAAAGCAUUAAAACAGGCAGUAAUUCUGUGGCUGAAGUGAAUAAUUAAACUAAUGAAGGACAACACUUUAAAACAAAUGAUUGUAUGGGAAGUUCAUGCAGACCAAAUGUCAGCAGGCAACCUAACUCUACCUUCAAAAGUGUUUAGACAUUUUAGCAGUUUUAUAAAUACCCUCUUUCAAGUGUAUCUAUCUGUGAUUCAGCUGAGUAUCUGCCCCCACAAGGCCACCUCUGCCCAAGAGGCAGAGUCAUGUUUAAAGUAAGCAGUGACCUCUGGAUCAAAAAUAAAAUCACAUGCUGAAGAAGAGGAGAGAGUGAUGGUCACGCUUCAUGGCUUUAAACCUCAGGUUUGUUUUAUUGACACUAACUUCCUUAAUGUCUCUCUCUUUUUUUCUUUUUGAAUGGCAUGUCUUUGUUCUUUUUCAUAUUACUUAUUUUUUCUCUCAAGAAGUAGUUCAUUUUUGUCCAAUAAUUUCUUUUGGUAAAAUUCAUAGUAUGUAGAAGCAUGUUAAAUUUAGCAAAAGUGUUUUGCUCUCCUUAAACAAACACAGAGGUAACAAGGUCUAACUCAUGGCUGUGGGAGCUGCUGCCCUGGCCCCACGUCCCACGUUUCACCCGCAGCGUUUUCCCAGGAGGGGUAAGCCCCUCUCCCACUGCUGUCAGCAUUCUGCUGUUCUAAAGAGAGCUCCACAGACAACCAUUUAAAGCUCCCAGAUCUCACCGUUUGGAUGUGGCGGCUGCUGUUUGAGGCUGCCACAGAAAGGCUGGCGGCUGUGCGGGGGCAGCGGGGCGUACUGGUGUGCCAGCGGUGCACAUCUCCCACGCGCAGCUCGGUGGCUUCCCCACCUACCUCAGCUCCUGCGCCCUGCCUCGCCAGUUUUCCUGACCACCCUAAAGGGAAAAUACUGAGCAUUUAUUAAGGAUUUGUGUAUAAUAAUAGAUGAAAAGGGAAUGGUUGACUUCAGAGUCCAGGAGUUUUGCCUGCAAAUAACCAUCCAUAAUACCUGUACCCUUCACUGCAACAGACCUGGUCUGGCCCUCCUCUAGUCUUCAGAGGGAAAGGCCUUACUCACUCUGGUAUUAGCCACCACCUUAUUUGUUUCUUUUCCAUGGCUAUUAGUAUUGAAUCAGACUUUGUUUCUGAGGUUGAGUGAGAGGAAAGACGGUUUUAGUAUUGGCUCUAAUUAUGUAUUUUGCCUCAAGCCACUGACACAAACAUUUAUUUGCUCAAGGGUCACCAGAGAAGUGGUUGAAAAGCACCUACAGAUUUUAAUUGGAAUUUGAUUCACAUUCCUGUUCAAGAAUUCAGAUGACCCUUUUAUCAGAACAAGCAAAGCCUUAGAAUAUUGAAUUGCAAAUACUGUAGUAAAAAGCUUUUUUGUGGUAUUUACAGAAGUUUUUGGUCAGGGCAAAAAUUCCAGGGAAGCUGACUUCCUCUUGUAAUUUUACCACUUCUAUGUUAAAUUUAGGAACUAAAAGAGAAAGAAACAACUUAGCCUUCUGGGUUUAAUUCAAGAUGGUCCAAAGCUAAGUAAUUUGGCUUUCCAUUCACUAUAGAAGAAAGUGCUGCUGAGUUCUAGCAUUAACCCCAACCAGCUAACUUGUGUGACAGCUACAAAUUUGUAUUUCUAGGAUUCCACCUCAAGUAAAUACUUGUUAAGUGUAUGCAUUUUUGGUAGUGAUGAUGAGUUCAAAAUGACUGCUUUGCUUCUGCUGUAUGUAUCUUGGAGCUGGAUUUCUCUGUGAAGUCUGCGGAAGCUUGUUACCAUGUUAAAUGCCCAGCUUUCAUUAAAUCUACACCUGAAGGCCAAAGCAAAAAUUUAAAGAUGUUGUGAGAAACAUGAAUGGAUGCACUGAAGUCCCUUCUCCCUUUCUGAGGUGCCAUAAGCAGCAGAGCACAGAGGUGGACCAUGGGCUCCCAGCAAGUUACCACCGCCAGGGAGGGUGCACAGCUGGCUCCCCAGAAGCCAUACUCCUGACUGCUGUCUGCACCACGUGUAUCCCAACCACCCUUCUCACCCCACACACCUGCCGGUAUUUCUAGCAGUGGCAAAAAUAUUUGGAUCAUCCCACAGUGCUCAGAAACCAUAAGGAAGAGAAGCCAGUACAAAUGUCAAGCAAAUUUCGAGUCCACCCAGCUUGGCUGAGCAUUUCUGUCUGUAAGCAUACUGGGAGCAGCUUUCUGCUGAGGUACCUGGUACCUGCUGCUUUCACUUGAGCACCCUAGAAAUUCAGGGGACUUCCUAGCUUCAAAGGUAUGAGAGCUACUGCAGUCAGAUAAACCAUAGUUUUAGCAAUGAGUAAUCAGCUGCUUACAUUCGUAUUUCAGUAGGCUUCCCUGCGACUCUGUGCUGCUGUUAUUUUGUUUUGCUAUUUCUAAAUGUUCUGUUAUGGAUCAGCUCCUACAAACUAUUUAGAGGUGUCCUCCAGGCUAGACCUUUGUCCAUCUCUCAAGUUUUCAUGAGUUUCAUUAGGUCAUCUGAUCACUGCUUAUUGUGAGUCUAAGUCACUAAGAUUUAAGUGAUGCAGAGAAGCUAGCUAACUCACAGAAACUGAGGGUAUCCAAGCUGUUAUUGUCUGGCCCAUAACUGUCCUGAGGAGUUAAAUAUUACAGAGAGCUGGGAAUCCAUGUGUCUGAGUUCUGCACCAAAGAUAUUUGUUUCCAAAUCAUCACAAAUGCUUGUUUUUUCCCAAAACACAAAUACCCUUCUGACCUCUCUAAUUUUCUGAUAUAAACGGAGAAUCUUUUCAUGAUAAUCAGAGUCAAGUAUCAGUCCCAGAAAGCCAUCACUAUGCAUUAUAGGCACUUAUGCACAUUAGGAAACAAAACAAAACAAGCAAUCUACCACUUUCCAGGAUCAGUGCUAUGAAACAUUUUAUGGGUGGUCCAUAAGUGGACAGAAUGUUGCACUAAUGUGUGACUGCAUGGCAAUUAAGCUUAAUUAGGGAAGGUUUUGAAAAAGACAGAUGAAAGUAAAUUAUGGAAAUGAAAGCAACUGUGCUUUUGGGGACCACACUCUGCUACAUUAGUUCAGCGAAGUGUUGCUCAAAGUGUCCCCCAUUUGUCACAUUCUGACACACAUCCAACAGUUUGUCAAACCAAGGUUUUUCUCUAGGAGGAGGAAUCUCUUAGGAGCACAUUCUUCACCCUGUCUCUGCUGAACUCACUGGUUUCUUCAGGAGUCAGCUGCACUUCUACAGUAAGAGCAGCAGAUGACCCUUAAUGCACAACCAUCCGGUUUAGCUUAGCAUUGCCUCCUUUCUAAUGGUAAUGAUGAACGUGGAUUUUCGUUUUCAGUGUGUGCUCUGGUGAAAUUUUUUCACAUUUUCAUAUUUCUAAUGCUUUCUCAGAUUUACAACUGAGUAUCCCAUAUGGAACAUCUGAUUCUGGUUCCAGUGAUUUUCCCUGGUGAGAAGACCCUGGUAAGCAGACCCAGAGCAGUUCCAAGCCUUCCACGCUGCGUGGUUCAAAGGCAUCCUGUCAAACAGGCUCUGUCAAAGCCGAGGACUCCAGGUUUUUUGCACUUGGAGACAGAUUGUUUCAGAGCUAGGUGUCCAUUCCCCCUCCAAGAGAAUUUUAAAGGAAACAAAAUGUAACAUGCUGAAAUCCUCAGUGAAACAGGAUUGCUUUUUUCUGCUCUGGACUAAGUGGUUGUUACUGCAGGCACCAUUAUAGUAUGCUAUGUUAUAUUGAACCUUAUUAAAUUAUGGAAAAUAAUUAAGUAGAAAGCAGGGGGAAAAUGCUAUACAGUUAGCAGGCAAAUCUUUUUUUUAGCUUGGAUAGUGUCUGUUACUGCUUUCCACCAGGACACUGGGAUGCUUUUUUUCCCUAAUGAACUUUUUACGUCCGAGAUGAAAUACAGAUUCUGUGGGCAAUUUAUUAAGAAAAACACCAGUUUCAUGUGAGGAGAUUUCAGACCAACAGGGAAUUUAUAUGUGGAAAUCAUAUAUGGGCAUAGGGAAACACCUCAUAAAAAGAAUGACUACAUGGUCAGCAGCUGUAAUUUAGGUACAUUCUUUUUUAAUAAAAAAAUGUGUGUUCAGACUAAUCUUUUCUUUUUUUUAUUGCAGCUCAGCAAGGUAGCCUCAACUGUAGUUGUUUAACCUUCUGGUUUUCUUUAGUUUGUUUUUGAAAAAAAGAAAGCUAAAACCAGUACUUUGUGUUUUCAGUUACGAAGCUUUUUCAUAUGUGAAAGGUGCAGUAAGGACACCUUUCUCCACUGAAGGAAGCUGACGUAAGUGUUGAUAAAAAUAUCACACGUAAAUGUGUAUUAAAAAAUGAAAAGAGAGAGACAAAAGGAUGCUAAACAUAAAGAAGAAACUAGUUCCGGGAUGUGAUGACUGAGCGUGAAUGGCUAUGCACAGGUAAUCCAGACACUUCCUAAUGCCUAAGAGCUACAUGUCAGAUGCAUGUUUACCUGCACGUACGCAGAUGCAGACUUUGCAAAUGAUGUGUAUGUGUCCAUAAAUGACAAUUUCCUACAGGGCAAAUUUUGUGGAAAUCAAUCAAAUUAAAAAUUAUAUUCCUAGAACGGAUUCUCUAACCAAACCUUUAGAUGGGAUCUUAUGUUUAGAACAAAGCACUGUUUCUGAAGAGAGAUCCCCUUAGCCAGGGAGCCUUACUCAGAUCCCCUACUUGCCUCCUCAUCUGUAACUGGAAAGUGAAGGCUCAGCUAAAGACUUUCUGGUACGUGAGGUAAUGAGAAACUCCAGGGUAUGCCUGGGUCUGUGGUAAUGUGACACUUGUGAAUCGAGUUGGCACGAUGUCCUUGGCAGCCUUGUUGCAAGCCCUCCAUAGACUCAUUUUUACAUGGAGAUGAUUAGAUAUUAGUGGAAACCUGAUGCAGUUAUGAAGCAGUAGGUGAACAAGCCAUUUCUCCCCGCUAAAAGCCUAAACCCGGCGUUUAUUACUUCCUGUUAGGUCACAGAAACAUCAAUCACCUGUCACUUUGAUGAUAGCCACUCUCUUUUCAACUGUGCCUGAAACGCUCUGCCCUGUGCCUCUUUUACACAUGCUGCCAAUGCUCCCCUCCAGCGGGUUUCUCAAGAUCUGAAGUAUUCGUGCUGACAUCUUCUGCAGCAGGCAGAUCUCUGGGAGUCCCUGGGAUGGACUCCAAAGGGAAUUAAUAAGAGUCAAAUAAAUUAGCUGGGGCAAAGGCUGGAGUUCAGCUUUUGCUGGGUUAAUAACGGGGAAAUUCACCUGGAUUAGUACUGACUACUUAACAGGAGCCUACAGGGCAUCACGUUUUGGCCUUCUGUGAUUUGGAUACUUUCUAAAUUAUAUUUUAUGCCAGAAUGCUGCAGCAUUACUUGUUGGAAGAGCCAAGGAAAAGCAAAUUUUUACAGCUGAGACACCUGUGACAGCAGCUAGAGCUAUUUUCUCUACUCUCUCCCCACACCACAAGCCCUUACACGGCUUUAAAGCCAGAGAAAUCAAGGCAUAUGAAAAGGACCUGCUGAAAACAUACACUAAUGGAGGAAGUAAGUCUAUUAUUCCCAGUUUUCUAGAAGGCACAUUUCGGUCUGGAUGUACCAUAUUUCUGCAAGAGAUGCUUAAUAUUUACAAGUGACGGACCUGUGAAUGAGCCCAGGCUUGCUGGUAUUCUUGGAUUCCUUUCUAACCUGCCCUCAUUUCUUUUUUCCCUACCUCCUUCCCUCUUUUGUGGCUUUCCGGUGCAAGUGCCUGCAGCAACCCCCUGUUCAAGAUCCAGGAGUAAUCCUUCACUGCCGGCCCAAGGCGAACCUUGGCGACAGCCGUCGAAAGGCCUUGAUCACACAUUCCCAGCACCCUGCCCUGCCAGCAGUGGGAGGAAACUCCAGUUUAUGUUAAUAAGGUGUGGAGAGUGGCCAAAGUAUUUUGUGAGUUUUCCAGCUCGAAAGGGUAAUGAAGCUACCUCUGUCUCAGUACGCUGGCCAGGGAGCAAGCUAAACAACUGGGAAAUGAAUUUCAAAGGAGAAAUACAGAGCACAGACUCCCUGGGUUUCGCACUUCCACUGGGGGAUGAUUUUGCCUCUUUCCACCUUUUUUCCAGGCUGGCUGCUCCCUUUUGCACAAAAAGAGGGAUGGAUGAGGGAGGGCCAGCAGGCUGUUUCUGUGGAUUAGCUUCAGGCAGCUCUCGCCAGAUUGAAAGUUACACUGGAAAGCAUUUCUUAGUUUAUACCAAAAUAAUGAAUUGUUUAAUACAUAAAGUAAACCUAGAAAGUUAUUCCCAUAAAUGUGGUUUAAAAUCUACCUAUUUAUUAGCUCUGAGCAAAAGAAACCUCCACACUGCUGAGACCAUGAUCAGAUUCUUUGGGCUCACUUCAAAAAGCUCGCUCUUUUUGUCAUUCCUUUCUGACCUCCUCCCUGCCAGUCCCGGGAUGAAAAGCAAGCCAAAGAUCUGCUGAGAAAUGGGCCGAGCCGCUGCUGACCUUUGCAAAUCCAAUUUCUUCAAAGCGAGAGCUAAACGACGUGUUCCCACGCUGUGUAUUGCUGAAACGUACGAUGCAAUUCAGGGAAUGAAUUCACCAUGGUGCAGUCUCAUUUUGAAUCCAGUUUUAUUGCUACGUGUCAGAGGGUGAAGGAGGCAGAGUGUGGUACAAGUUAUAAAGAGCAUUUGCACACAAGUUUCACAAACCACAUAAGUCAGUCUUUGAAAGAUUUUGGACUUUGGAGGGGUUAUUUCCUCUAAAAAUUAAAGUGUGUAAAAAUUAAAAAACCCUUUUACCUCUCUCCCCCUCAAAAAGGGAGACAUUUUGUAGCGAUUUAAAAGAAAAAUAAGACAAUGAGAGUUUGUACUGAAUAAUCUCCAAAUAGAGAAACAAUAACUCUCUGGGGGUAUUGUCUGACAUGUAACCAAGGUGCCUGUCUGGGGUGGUUUGCAUGCACAGGAGUUAUGGGUGAAUGGGAUGGUGAUACAGGGAGAGCUUUAAAAUGAAUAUUUAAAAUUCAGAUUCUCAGUUUGCAUAUCAGAUUUGGUACGGGUGCCACUCCUAUUUUGCAGCAGUGAGAGCAGUCCACCCUGUGAGAAGGUUCAGGCCUCUGCUAGGUACCAUGGGUGUGCAUGCAGGAUCCACACAGGAAAAGCGUAUUGGCAUUCCUAACCUAACUCUUAUACUCUUGAUCCAACAGCUGCAUGGAGGCUGGUCCCCUCCCUCUGUUUUCCAGGAGGAGCUACUGUUUGUUCCCGCGCAGCUGGCUAAGCCCUGCCUGACCCCAGCACCAGACAGCCCGGUACCCCCCGCACGAGUGAGCGGUGAUGCGCAGCAGCCUGCGUGCAUGUCCCGAGCAGCGCCUGUUUGCGUAAUGCUGCCACUUUUUUCCUGGGGCAAAAGGGAUGGAAGAGGAUUCUCAUUCUUCAUUUAACUACUGUAGGGCAUAUGUCAUGGGUAGCGCAUCUCCAGUCUGUUCUUCAGCGCUGAAGAGAGGAGUUAGGUGUUCCCAGCAUGGGCUGAGUUCCGUGCACGCCCCUCUGGGGAUGCCACCUCUCUGCUGGGAAGCUAUCACAUGGCAGGCAGCAGCCAAGCUGCUCCACGUUUGGUGCCUUACCACUGAACUCCCGGCAUACAGUGUAACCCGCCGGUUUGGUCGUACAGUAGAAGCAGAGAUAUUGCAGCCUGUUUAUUUAUUUCAUUAUCAUCUCCAUUGCACAAGUGUCAUUCCAUUAGAGCUGAUGUAAUGGAGAAUCAGGCCCUUGGGCUAAUGGGCUAAACUAUGCCCUGGCUGUGUACGCUGAAGACUCAGAGGAAGCUUCAAUGCUCUCAUUUUCUAGUUGUCCUCCCCAAAGCAAAUUAAAAUACAUCAUUGUUCUCAAGACUGCUGAAUGAAGCAAGUUGGUUUUUAAUUUUAUUUCCAUAACCAUGAAUAGUAAAUUUCAUCCAUUCAUGACUGGUUUAUAAAAGAGUUUGCUAACUAACCAGAUCUGAAGAACUUUCUUUCUCAGCAAGUAUUGCAAUAAGAGCAUUGUUUGUGUUUUUAUUACUUGCUCAAUAUUUUUGUUAUUCUCUUUCCCAAGACACGAUUAGAUUUUCCAGUCUUCUGGACAUCAAAGAUUUUGGAGAAGAGAUUGUAUAAACUGGAUAGGUAACAGCUGUUACCAGAUGGAUUUACUGGUAGAAAGGGGAGAGGGCUAAUUUGUUUUAUGUGCUUCCUCCCACUGCUGGCACCUUUCACUGUGGCACACUGUUUCUGUCCUGCGACAGGGAAUAUCUUUGCACAGAGGGAGCCCUUGUCCACAGGAUUACACCUGCCUGUGGGUUUCACUGUUGUUUGUAAGUAACUUCUAAAUGCCUUCAUCGUAGCUUCUUUACCUGGUCUUCCAGUAGUUUAUUAGAGAGAAAAGAAUGGGAGGACAGCUCUAACUUUGUUAGUUAAUAGCACUGAUUGACAGAUUUUAAUUUCUGAGCUUUUCAAGUCAGAAGUUUUGUUUGCUCCACUUCUGAAUGUCUCAGAACACUUUAAAUUAGAUUUAUUUCUGUAAAAUAAAAAAAAAAUAAUUACCGUGAAUUCCCCAAGAAAGGUCACACAGGACUGAAGCAGAGUUUCAGCUUGAAUAAACUGCAGUAUCUCUGCUGCACCCUCCCAUUUAAUUUGGGAACGAACAUUCACAUGAAUCCUCUUUAUUUCCUCAUCUGGUGUAAAAUUCCUUGUGCUACUCUUUUAGAUUACUCACUGUUUAGGAAAGAUCUUGGAGGGGAAAUGGUGAUUUGUAGUAUUGCAAAGUAUUAGCUUGUAAAACAGACUGUGUGCGUGUAUAAUAACAUGAUUUUUGCAUGUUACUAUGCCAACAAUGUCUGAUCCCAUUCAGAUAACAGUAAGACAACUUACAGCUUUGACCGCAUACAAAGAAAGUCACACUACUUCUCUUUUUUAUUUUAGGUUUGAUCUACUUGCUUUUGCUAUUUGCAUGUUGUGUUUUUAAGUACCUACCCCCACGUUCUUCAAGCUUCAGAAAAAGACAGCGCUUUCCAUAUACAUUGUCUGCAAAACAUGCCCUAUGUCCUAUGAAUAUUCUAAGACAUCCACUCUGAUCUAGCAAUUUAAAUGGGACUGGUGUCUUCUUAAUCUAGUCUCCUUCUUCCUGAGGCAGCCUAGAUACUGCUUUUGAUCUUUCCCUGCCCCGAGCAACAUAAGAAUCUAUUGCUGUUGCAGGACAGGAGACUCUGGCUUCGCCCAGUCUGCUAGGAUCCUCAGACCUUUGCAAAAAUGCUCAGAUCCUCACAGAGUUUCAGCCUUUUCUGCAAGCUGGCCUGGGAGCACUGGGCACCUCAUCUGGGUGAACGCCGCUGGAGCAGACAGUCAAUGGCCACUGGGCUGCUGUUGGAAGAAUGAAUCCAGGCUGGAGAAGGACCGAACAGAAGCUAUGUCCAGAAAACCAUCUCUAAUGUGAUUUUGGGUUUUUUUUCAUUAUUUUCUAGGUCUUAAUUAAUUUUAAACUGUUUUCUUCAGUCUCCUUCAUUCGCUCCCUCUCUACUGUUCCAUAUAUUUAAAGCAAAUGACCCAAAAAUGAGAGGAAGUCCUUUCAAAUGAGGUACUGAGCUUUCGUGCAAAGUGCAGAAUAUUUUUUUCUGUACAACCAGUGGAGGAAUGAGAACAGCUCUGCCAGUUUCAAGACAAAAUGCUUCAUCUUUAGUGAGCAUUUAGACUGCAAUAAAGAUCCAAAUAUAAAGCCAAAGGCAAAACUGCAGAGGAGGCUCACGACUAGGUGGGCAGUUUGCUGCAGGAGAAGGGUAGUAAGCUUUAUUAUCCAUUGCUCCUCUUGUAGUGGGAAUUUGCCAUUCAGCUGGCACUGGAAACACUGCAGAGAGGUUUUUAUCACAAAGAAGUCUGAAAAUGUGUCAGUUUGCAAAACUGAAGGAGCUGGCAGGAUUUGAAUUCCAGAAACAAAACUGCUAUGAUAAUUGUGUUCUCUUUUGUUCAUUUUGUCUGAUUAUAGUCCAGAGCCAAAAAAAAUUUAAUAGCUUGUAAAGCUGAAAGCUAACCAUGUUAUCAAAAUGGGCUCCAGCUCACUGAGGGAUGGCAAGAAAUAUGCUUUUCCUCUUUAGGAUGUUGUUAAUAGUUUUGCAUUUCUUGCCAAUUUAUGAAAACUUUGAUAUGAUUUGAGAGGCGGUGGGUAACUGAGGAAGAUCCUUGAUUGUUCUUUGAAAAAAACAAGUUUGUUCUGUACAGUUCAUAUAAAUAGGGAGAGGAAGAAGAGUCUGGUCUAUAAUGAAAGGUAUGGUGAAAUCUAGAUUGCAGUCCCUGUUUUACACAUAGCCUUUCCAUAUGCCAAGUUAGGACUGGCGCAGGUGAAUGUCACCCCAACAGCCUACUUACACUGAAAAAUUACUGACCUUAUCUUGGAUUCCCCAGGUCACGUACUAACACACACAGAGGACUGAGCACAUUUUGUGCUUGUACAUUGGCAAAGAUUUGUGUAAAUCUCAGGCUUUUAAUGAUGUGUUAACAGGACAGUCUCUCACAUCCAGAAGAGCAGAUCUUGUUGGUAAGCCUAAGAGCUGGCAGGAGCUUGUGCAAGUGGUUGUACCAAAUGAUUGCUGAGCUCUGAAAGCAACAGCUAAUUCAGGUGCAGUAUCUCACAGACUAUGUUAAUUUUUAAAAUGAGCUUUGCAAGCCCGGGCUCAGGCUUCUACAGGUAGUGUUUGCCGAGUUAAAGUUACGUGAAGUAUUUUUUUCGCUCCACAAACUGUUUGCACAGGAGUUACAGGCCUAAGUUAUCAGUCCACUAUUGAUAGACAUUGCAAUCAGUAAUUUUACUGCUUCCUUAUCAUGUUUUUGGAGCUUUGCAGUGAGAAUAAUUAAAUAAAAAAUAAAAGAAAAAUCAUUAGCUUGAGUAAGUAUUUGCCACAAAGGAACACUUUUUCAUGGUGACUUUAAAAUGUCAUAGCAAUGCUCUGAAGCGGUACAGGAACUGUGAAGUUUCAUCUAUAUAGCCAACAGGGGAUUAAAGCUCUGUGUCUCAAGAACUUCACAAUGUACGCAUAACAAUAUUUUUCUUCUAACAUAGUUGCAUCUUCAUAAAACCUGUUAAACUGCAGCUUGCAGAGGAAGUAUAAAGCACAGGGCAAAUUAAAGUACAGUAACCCUGAAAGAACAAAUUGAUCUAACCAGAGCCGCAUUACUUACAGGAAAAAGAAUUGAGAUUAUUGAUGGCUCACUGCACAGAAACAGCAUUUACUAUGAUGGAAAAGUGUAUACCACGGAUUAACUCUGUCAGUUUUGCACUGGCCUGUUUCUCAUUUUACAUGGCAAACACUUUGAUCCAUGUUACAAUAUAGGUAUUUGCAAUCCUGGGAAACUUGCUGCCCCAAUCUAAAGAUGAAAUAAUUUAAUCAUAAGUACUUGGACAGGCAUUUUUCAAACCAAUUUAAUUAUGUUUCAUUGUUUACAGCCUGUGUCUUUAUGUGAGCAUUACACCCAGAGAUAAUUUAAGAGCACAACAUGCUUGCAGGCUUAGGUGUGUGGGACGUUUGAAAGAAAAUGGAAAUUUGGUUAGUUCUUUUAGUUUAUAACUCCAAAGCACUCAAGCUUGAAUAUCCUUUUGUUUUCUUUUUCUGUUAAGGAAUUUAUUAUUUUUAUUAAUUUGUCUCUAAUGUUGCCAUUCCUGUGCCUGUAAAUACAUAUAUAUUCUCAUGUAGUUUAAGAACAGUGAUAGCAUUACAGUGAUUUUGGGCAGAUCUUGAGCUGUGCCAUAUUCCUAUAACAUCUCAGAAUUCCCAAGGGCCUCAGAAGCAUUGCUCCAGAUUUAUGGUUGCCUAACACUGGCAGAAUUUUAUCCAUUUACAUCAGUAUUCAGAUCUAAUGCUUUAGUCAUCCAGAUCCCUAAACCGGUUAUCCUGACCAGUUCUUGAGCGCUGCUUUAACUGUUGCACUCACAGCUUUUAUGAAUUUCAUUUACAUUUACAUUAUGGUAAAAAAGAUAAACUGAGCUUUUAAAGAUGGAAACUGCUGAUACUUUUUACUAAUUUCUAGAUCUAUUAUGUCACUAGUACUCUUUGGGAAAGUUCUGAUUUACAAAAUGUGAUCUCAUGGUGUGUUUUAUCUUAUUGGUUUCUUGCCAUAUUGCCAGAAUGCAGUGUAUUCAGACAGAGGCAACCAAAAUGCAUGCUUCAGCAGCCUAUGCAUGCAGACAAAGUGUGCAAAGCUGGUUUUCAUUUUCCAGAAACAGAUCUUAGUUACAGUAUACCUCCAAAUGAAUGGCUUUUUAUUAUUGGUUUGGUGGUUUUGAUUUUGAUCGGGUUCUUUGGUUUUAUGUUUUUGAGGCAUGUGUAUCACAUGCUCACAGGAAAAGUCCAAGUUUCAGAAGUUUUCUUAGAGUGAAUUUAGAGCUUUUGAAAGCUUUGCUAGAAACCAUCAUUCCCUGCCUGCUCACAAAUAACAGCACCUACAGCUCUUUUUGCACUAUUAAGGAAAGAUCCCUUACAAAAUGCUACAUAUUUCUCCACCCUUGCUCAGAAGGUACUACUCUAGAAAAGAAAAGAAGGCCUGUUUGGUCAUAUGCUGAGUUUCUAAGACUACCAAAAAGAUUCUACUUAAGAAGGGUCAACUUAGGAAAAAUACCCUCUUGAAGAAGAUGCUAACUUAAGAAAUGGUAUCUUCUCACACAACCUCUAUGAAAAGCAUUUGGUUUUCAAACAUCUGUAGUUAAGUUGAACUGUCAAUUCCCCUGCCUUUAGUAACUGAAACCCCACAUUUUCCAUAGAACUAUUCAGCAGUAUGCAAAAUAUUAUUAGCAGAAGGGGAAAUAAAAACAGCGAUUCUGAUCAAAACCGAGAACUGCCUCAGUAACAGUCUGGUUCAGAUAUACACUGAAGAGGGGUUAAGUUGCCAGUUUCUGCUGUGGGCAGUUCACUGGAGAUCUCUUACAACAAUCUUGGUCUUCAGGAGAAUCAUAUCAGGCAGUCAGUGAUGCCUGUUCUUAACUUGAGCAUUAAUAUAGUUUUCUCCUUGACAUCUUUUAAUCUUUUUUUCACCUAGCUUUAUCUAUAAAAUUAUAGAUUAGAGAUAGGUAGAUACAGAUACAAUCAUUUUGCAUUUUUUGCAGUCAUUUACAUUUUUGUUUUCUAUCCCUCCCUUAGCUAUAAAAUCCCAUAUUUUAUCUCUGUUGAAGGAAUGUGCAAAUACCAUCAAACUCACUUCUCAGAUGAUUUUUCAAACCAAUAGUAUUUGAAUGGCUAGAAAUUAAAAAGCUGUUUUUGCUAAACAUCUGGUGAUAUGCACUCUUCUUGUCAAUUUGCAUUUAGGCUCCUGUGAUGAUAUUCUGGUAAAAUCUGAGAUAGGAUUUUCAUUUCCAAGCACUAGACUUAUUUGUGAAACUGGAGGUGGAAUACUCAGUAUGACUUCUCAGGUGAUAGGAUAGCACUCGGUGAAACAGCAAGGAGCAUUUAACAACUUUGCAGAAAGGAUUAUCUUUCUGAGAGUGUUCAACCCAGGUAGAACCAGGAAGUUUAGAAACUGUGCAGAAAGUCAUGCCCUGCUGAGGUCUGGUCACUGCCUUGGUCAAGAGUUAGACGAGGUUUAGACAAAGUUCACAUCCUUAUACUUCGCCAUCCAUAGGUGAAGAAACUGAUAUGAAUUUGAGCAUCUGAUACGCAGCUGGUACUCACUUUGUUAUUAACCUUGCUAACUACUGCACUUCAAAAAUCUUUGUCUUUUUCAGCUUAAAUGGUAUUUUUCUGGCAACACUUUUUAUGGAGCUUUAAAGCUGUGUCCCACAACUAGUUUUGUUCUUCUUUCUGUAGCAUUUUCUACAAUUUCUGUCAAGGAAUUGACGUAUGCGAAGAACUGUACAUUGAACUCUAGGAUUAUUUCAGUUUUGUAGGUUUUAGUCAAUAACAAUCAAUUUACCUAGCCCCAAAGCAUGAGAAGUGAUAUUCACUGGAAGAAGCACAGUGGUUUACAAGUGCAUCUGAAGCUGAAAAGAUGGUACACAGAAAUACUGUACUCUUGGGAAGUCUAGCAAUGUCAGUUUUGGAGUUCAUUCACAUGCUUGUGUAAGAGAUGGAUUACUUUAUGGAACAGGUUCAAUUCUCAGUCUUACCCAGGUAAAUCCAGAGUGCUUGUCCUGAGCACAGAUGACUCCACAGUCUGCCUCUGUGUUAAUUUGACUACAGUGAUUGAGUUAUUAUGCGGAUUAGUCCACAGCAGCAAAGUGGUAUUUGGACCUACAUGAAGCUUAGCAGGAAAAAGCUGAAUCUGGCAACUUGAUUUGUGUCCAUCCCUCUCAGUUUCGUUUAGAAAACCAUUGAAAAAAAGCAUAUUGUGCCAGUUCCUCUCAGUUUUGAUAGUGGUGGUUAACCUCCUGAACAGCUUUCCUUUAUUGAUAAUGUCUCAGUUAGAAUGUCAGUCACAUUUUGUACUUAGGAAAUGUGUCUUUCAUGAACUGCCUUGCUGACUGAGGAAGCUUCAGUUAUUUUUUCUUUCAAAACAGAUACAUACCCUUUCCCUUACCUCCCCAGCUGGACAAAGCCAGUGAUGAUUAAUCACUCUUAUCAUCUUUCUGAAAUAUCAGAGUUGUCCCCCCUCAUGGCAGAGAACACCAAACCAUCCAACGAGAAAGGAGGCCGUGUGAAUAGCCUUGCUGAAUUCCUAAUUAUUUGCUCUGGCAGUUCCCAGUGAAGCAGCUGGUUGUCUUUGGAAAGCUCUGCUUGUUGUUUUGGGUUUGAACAUCAUGUGUCUUUAAUUUUCAGCACUAGCCACAGGGAUAAGUAUCACAAAUAUCUGCUUGAAGGCCUUUUGCCCUUGGGAACCCAAUAUAUACUUGGCAGCCUCUCUGACAGUGGAACUGAGGGGAGAAUCAAAGUUGACUCAUUGCCUUAUAUCCCCUCAGGGAGAAGAAAGAAUAAAAAGGGCAAUUGCUGCUUCCUUCAGUUGUCUGAAGCGAGUCUUUCCUGUUUUGUAGGGAAUAAACUAAUGCCAUUUUCUAAAAUAAUCUGCCCUCUAUAUGAACAAAUUAUUCCAUCCAGUACCAUACAGCUAAUUCUGGGGUUUGAUUUCCUUGUAUCCCAGUGCAGUUUUGGGUGGAGUUCAGAAAUGCAUAACCCCACGUAAAACUAGAAACAGACAUUCACAUCUUCCACUCAACACUUACCUCCAGCAGAAUCUACUGUUAUGUUCUUCAGCUGAACGUACGGUAAACUCUAAUGGAAAUCAGUUUGUGGAGGGCUGUGUAUGUCCUCAGGUGGAAAGAGCAUGGAGCGUGCUUUGUUUAUUAUGCCCAAGCUGUUAAUGUAUUCUGAUCUCCUAUGGCGUAAUCAGGACCAACAUAAAUGAAUGUCACCCUGGUAUGUUCAUUAUUCCACCUGUGGGUAUAACUUCACAAAUAUUUCCCACUUUAAAUGACACACUGAAGUGAAACUGUCAUUAGUACAUUGGUAACAUCACAAUACAUAGGGGAACCCCGAGCCCCAAUGUAUGCAUUAGCUAAAGAUUAAGCAGAAUGCCAGAUGAGCUUUGAUUCAUUUUAAAAAUGUCGCUAGGCAGAGAUCCAAGCUCACACCAAGUGAUGCCAAGAUAUUUGCUCAUGUCUCCAUCGCCCCAUAUCUCAAGUGGUGCAACCGCCAGAAAUAAUUUUCCUUAAUAGAAAAACUUCACGCAUUUUGCACAUUGCUCUUUCCUAUGUAAAUCUUGUUAGUUUAUGAUUUCAGUCUGAAAAUAGAAUUCAGCUCUUGUAUUUUAGAUCUCAAAAACAUCUUCCUUUAAGACAGUAUUUCUGUAUUUCCAGGAAACUCAUUCUUUUUAUUUUAUAAUCAGCUCCACUCAGCACAAGGUUCUUCACAAGAAGGUGGCAAUUAUCCACUGAGAAAAUUCAUAGUUUUAUUUUUCUUUCUAAGACUUCAAGUUUUGCUCUUAGUCUUGAAAUUCAGUGCUUUUCUAGGGAGUAUGCUUUUGAGUUGAUGAGGAUUUGUUAUACUACUCAAAUACAAAAGAGAGUUUUAGCUGGGGAAGAAGCUCUCAAAGAUGAAUGAAUGUAUUAUCUUAGCGUGAAUCUGAACUUUGUCUUGCAAAACACUGCACAGGCUUUCAGUGAUACAGAGCCCAUUGGAAUCAGCUGUUGUCUCACAGCUGAAAAUAAUAGGGCUCAAAAUGGUUCUGAUUAUUCCUGAUUUGAAAGGUAAGUUGGUAUGACUUUAGAUGCUUCAUUUUAAAUAUGUUCGUACAUUGUAUAAUCAUAUUAAUAUUUAUAUGCUAAUUUAAUCACUCUGUCCAACACAGAGAAUAUGGCCUUGGUCUGUAAGCAAGCUCCCCUCUUUACAGUUGCAGGAGUGUAUAUCUGGACCUAAUUGUACCAUUAGCACUUUGUGACACUUUUUGCUUUGUGACAAGUUACUUAAGUCGUAAGUGCUUUAAGUUUUGUUAGUGUAUGAUUCCAUUAGCAUCUUUUAUCUCUACCCAGAGCUCCUAAAUCAGUGUUGUGUGGUUUAUACAGAAGAGCCAGACAGAGGUGUUUCUCCUUCCCUACUCCUUCUUUUCGCUUUGCUUCACACUGAGGUACAGAAACUGUCUUGCACAGUAUUACACAGACAUAGGAAGGCACUCUGUACUUGAGCAAGGGCUGAAGCAAGAAAAACAAAACGAAUGUGAUGCUAAGAGCUCAGCACAGCAGAAGACUUUAGGAGGAUCUAUAAAAAGUUUAAAUUGGUAAAACAUGUAUGUGGGUGGGUUAGAAAGAGAAUAAAGUGUAAUUAAGUUACUGAAGCCUCAUCAGGACUCUGAACAUUGUUCAGUGUGCUUUGCAGUUUGCUUUAAAGAAAUGUCAAGAAUACCCACAUCCUUAGAAAGGGGACUUUUUUCAUAGUUUAACAUUAAUUUUGACAAAUAUAUGAAGGCUGCUGGUUUUUGGACCUUGCGUCAUUCUGCUGUGGGGUAGUGUAUUACAGGAAUGUAGGAAGGCAAAAAUCCCACCUUCUGCAAACUAGUAACAGGGUUGAGCUGUGCAUAUUGGGCACAGCUGAAAGCCAGGGGGGACUUUGCCAUCCUGCCCUAAAGAGGGUGCUGGGGCACAUCCUCUUCUCCAAACAGGGCUGGGAGUCAGCUCCCUGCCUCUCUGCCUUGCAGGGACAGCCCCCUGGGGGGGCGGGGGUCCCUGCCUGUGCACUGAUACCAGAAGGGUGGAUGGAUGAGCUGGGAUAGCUUUCCCCUCUAUCCCUUUGAAGCAGGGGGGAGCAGAAAAAAGAGUGCUAAUCACAGAAAAGUAUUCUUGCAGCUACUGGGUCUAUAAUGUUGUCAGUUUAGGUCUGACGCCCUCAUGCUGUGACUGACCCAGACACCGGCCCCUUCUCCCUCUGCUAAUGCCUGCUUGCCCUUCACUUUCGCUGGAGCUUCCUGGGGGCACAUUGAGUGAUGACCCCUACAAAUGACCUAGGCUGCUCCUUUACAAAACCCUGUGUUGCACCUGAGGCCAACAGAAGAAAACAUGAUGGUGAACUUCAUAAAGUUCUGCAAAGUAACAAGUUUUGUGGACCAAUACUGCUCCUGCAGUCAUCGCAGCAGACCAGACCUCCUGAGCCCAACUGUGUGAGUUGCCAUAGCGUGCACAGUGCAACAGGUAAGUGGGAAACCUGGAGCCAGACAGCGAUUUUGGUCCCAAUUUAUACAGGCAGCCUUUUGACUAAUUCUCCUUCUCAUGGUCCCCAAAUCCCAAGGCUGCUGGGAAUCGGUCCUUCCCCUUGUUCAGGCCUAUGUCCUCCCCAAAUAAUCCUUACAUGAAUGCUCAGUGGGCUCCGUCGUGACAGGGGACUCCUUCACUGGCAGAUUAGUGGAGUGUUGUGGCUGGGAAAAUCAUGUACCGCAGCUAUAAUAGUGAAAUUAUGAAGAGUAAUGAGGAUUUGAGCUGUUAUCUAUCUCAUAAAUACACAUUCUAAUGUGCAGGAAAACCACAGUGUUGACUGAAAAUAUUGCAAUCUUCAAGGGAAAAAAAGAUGUUAGCCAGAAGUGUUGUGUCUUUACAUAUGGUUCACCUAAAAAAAAAAAUCUGACCUUUUUUAAGAUGGCUGCCAGCCAACAUUUGAGCAAUAUUUCCUUUGUGUUUCUGCUCACACAGAAUGAUUUAUGUCCAAGUACUCUCUAGCUGGUUCUCAAAUUGCAGUAAUGAUUUUGAUUAUUUGUUUGUAGUUAUAUCUGAACAUUUCUGCCUGCCAUGUCGUAUAUCCUGAACCAGUGUGUCAUUUAAAGGCAGCUGCUGUGCCCAUGUAGAGCCCAUUGCUCUGUCUGGUCUGUGACUGUUUGUGUGUACUAUAUGUAAGUUUUAGACGGUGAAAAGGGGGAGCAAGAGGACCAUAUCCUCACCUUGCUGACCAAGGAAAUCAUAGUUUUCAAGGAAAUUAUUCUGACGCAUAUGUAAGGAAGUCAGAAUUCGGUCAGGAUACUUAGAACAAGUGGCAAUUUUUUCCAUGGGAAGAGUUAACUUACUUUCCCACGAAAGAGGUGGGGCCAGAGCCGCAUGCCAUCAACCCAGAAGAUAUAAGGCAGACUGCAAGGGAAGCGCAGUUGGGCACAGCUGCAGUGAACAAGGUCAUCCGUGCAGGACAGUGCAUGAAGAACAUGCUGCAGGACUUCAGGGUUUGCCUACACAAUGUCACAGAGGAGAUUUAGUUGGGACACUUGAGCUAAAAAGCCUGCCUGCAUACCAGGCAACUUGUUUUGCUCAGCUGAGACCCACAUGCAUGUUAAUGACUUGUAUGUCCAUGAAGUGAUUUAGCAUGGACAACAGAGAAAAGGAAAACCACAUUUUUUUUUAAAAAAAAAGGUAGGGAAAAAAAAGAGGAGAUAGCACAAAGAAACAGUGUAUCCAUCCUGGAAUCAAAAUUCAAGAGCAUAAUGCAGUUUAUAUCAAUAUAAAUUUCUAUACCAAAGUCAAUAUGACAAAUUAGGCUGUCUGUUUCAGUGAAAGAGUUCCAACAAACACUUAAAUGUUUUGAGAGGAGUUGAAAAUGACCACCAUCAUUACGAUAAAACAAAAUAGUGGUGUAUAUGGAUUGUCUGUUGCUUUGCUUUCCACCUUUUGGAAAUGAGACAAAAGAGUUAAGGGAAAAAAAAGAAGAACCUUACUGUGCGAAGUAAAAACCCACAGUAUGCAAUGGGUUUUUUCUGCAGAAAGUACCUUUUCUUAAGCGUAGGCAUUUUUCUUUUCAAAAGUUAUCAGAGAAAUUAGAACUAUAAAAGAUCUUAUUCUCUUAUUUAGUUGGGACUCUUACAGAUUCGUAGACAUUGAGACCGAUGGUCUGUUAUGAUCACUGUCUCAUCUGACUCAUACAUCAGCUUGUAUAAUUUCACUCAGUAAUUCUUUUACCAAGCUUAUGACAACAUACAGCUAAUUAAAAGGUUGUGAUCUCAUAGUUAGUGUUUUCACUUAUGCUAAGGGUGCCAAGGACUUUAAAAGAUCUAAUCACACCCACAUUAGGGUAGAUACCAUAUGCAUCUUACAGUGUAUUGAUAGCAAAAGCACAAUGAAACUGUCACACAUUCUGGGUAAGGAAUUCACAAGGAUUUGGGGCUGGAGCAGGGGUCUCAGAGGUGAAGGCAUGGUCUCUCCCCUCAUCCCUUCUGCAGCUGUGUCCCCACUGUAACCGUGGUCAGACAUCCAUGACAGCUGGCAGCUCCAACGCAGCACAGACCUUCCUUCACCCACCUGUGUAGUGAGAACAGACCUCAACUGGUUCUUGACUGGCAGGACCAGGAACCCCACCGGGCACAAGUGCUGUCUUGUAAUGCCCCACAUGUGCUCUGCAGAAGGCAAAACCACCCCAUUAGGCCCUCAGUCUUCCUGUUGGUGGCCCUCCUUGCUGGCUGUCCUGCAGAAUGGUGCCACGAGGAGCAUGUGGCUUGUGCCACAGAUGCCGUCACAACAGUGGUGCUCCAUGACUUGGGUCUGCACAGAGAAAUCACAGACUCUCAUGGUAUAAUGGUAGCAUCCAUCACAAAAUGCACGUACACUGAGACAGUGAACCUGUAUCUUAUUUUACCAAAACCUGAUAUUGGACCAUUCUGUGUCUUGUACCUCUCUAUAAAAGAAAUUGUGUCCGUGCUUCACUCCACAUUUCACAUUUUAUAGUUGCAGGCUAGGUGCACACACAGGUUUGCCUGCAGCAGCUAUGGUCGCACAAACAUACAAUAAGGAGUGUUAAGGACAUGUUUUGCUCCAGAAAGUCAGUUAAAGUCCUGAAAGUAGAACAUGGUAGCUACUGAAUUCUCUGGCUGAUGGUAGUUCAGUGAAACUUCCUUUGGCAUUCCCAAAAAUGUGACUGGAAGAAUAAGUGAUUCCCAAAGGGCUCCUCAGGAACAGUCCAAAGCUGCAGGCCAGAUUAUUUGUUUUAGAAGACUGUUGGCUGAGCCCAUCUAUUGUUGGGUCUGCUGCAGCAUUUCUUUUGUUCUUGUCAAACUUAGCAUCCUCAGUUUUCUUGUAAAUAAUUUACCAGACUUUGGAAACUUAACAUGGUGGGGGAAAUAGCAGGGGUUUUUCUGAGUAGCUAUCAUCCUUCAGCUUCCAGGAGGCUGUAAGUAACAUUUUGCAACAUUACUCCAUAGAAAAAAAGCCAACAAGACAAUAUAUUACUGAGGGCAGGUAUGCUCAGAGGAAAAGCAAGUCUCCUGGAGAGCCGGGGUUUUAGUCUAAUGUGUUUCACAAAUAGAACUAAGGAACUAGCAGCAUCAAUGAGCGACCCAGGUAGCAGCAGUCAAACUCUGUAUUGCAUGUACUAACAAUAAUUUUAACAACAGAGUCCAUGAAUGUCUUAGAAGGCACAGAGAAUACUGGGAGUGGAAAGAACAGAAGUUUUCGAUGGAGGGAAAUAACAUUCACCUUUUGAUAAGCUCCAAAAUUGCCUUUUCCAAACAGAGGUGCCUUGUAUUACGCCAUUCCUGUUGGCUGUUUGGGCUUUUUUCAUUAGAUGGAAGAACUUCUUGCUAUAGUAAUAAAGGUCAGGCAUUAUUGUGCCUCUUUUAUGAUACUGACUAGCACAAGUCGUGUAUACAAACCCAGGAACUAUUUAUUUAUGUGGAAUACAUACUUAAAUAGUGGACUACAAAUCAUUUAAAGAUGCCAAUGAUAUGAAUCAUACCACAAUUUCAUGGAUAAGUGGAAACAUUAUGCAACUUACUGAGUUUUUAAAGCACUAACGAAUGUGAACUACACAGCAGACUUGAGCUGGACCUUUUCACCCCUUCUAAUAUAUGCCGUGGCUAUUUAAUAUUCCUCACUAGGGAGUAAUGCUGGCAUACAAGUCAGCAAUAUAUUAGGCAAUGGAGCCAUGAACCUAGUGAGAACAUAAACUAAACUGAUUUUCAAUUUUCAAACAUUACAAAAAGGACUAUUAUUGUGAGGUUAGAGAUGUCAAAGUUGGUGACCUGGCAUAAUGAAGUAUUCCCUGCCACACAGUCAAGCAUGAAAAGUAAUUGGAGGCAGUAUAAACUUUUAGAGUCUUGGGGGUUUUUCCCCUCCCAAAUUAAAUAUUCUUUUGCACUAACUAUUUUUUUUUUAAUUAAAAAUAGUAAUUUUUGUGAAGCAUCAUAAAAGCAGAAAUGAUGUUUCUGUAAAGUUUGCAGUUGAUGGAGAAACCUGUGUGUUUAGAAAUGAGGUCACAUCUUAACACUGGGGUUACUUACAUAAGGCACUGAUGAAAAGCAAGUUGCUACCUGCCAUCUAGGAAUGACAUUAAAAUAUUAUGGCAGCAUGUGACCAGCUUUAGAGCUUAAAAUCUUGAAAGGACACAGACAAUGUCCCCUUUGAGGAACAUUCCUGAAGAUCACUUUACAGUUUCUGCUAAGCUUUAAAACACAGAGUAAAAUGCCCCAUGUCUAAGCAGCAACGAUAAAAGUUGUUACUUCUUAGCUGCAACAUUUACAUCUGAAAAAAUACCACUAAAGUGUGCACAGGUCUUUCUGCUGGUCCAUCAGAGGAAAGGGGUUAGCAUUUAGUCUAGGGAAUGGUGUAUUAGUAUUGUGAAUCCCAUACUCCAAGUGUUCGUUAUGGCUCCAAAUCCCAACUUACUGCACUGGCUUUGACCAAGUUAUUCCUGAUCUCCCCUGGCACUGCAUUGUGUGAGCUGGCACAGCAUCACUCCCCAGGAACUAGACUGCAGAGGGCACUCCUAUAUAAGAAGGAAUUGCAGUCUCCAGGCUCAUUUACUUUUAGCCUUGAUGAUUCAUUGUUAUUUUUUCUUCUUUAAUAAUUAAUGACACUAUUAUUACACUAAAAAGAAAAUCUUAUUAUUUUUGACAACUGGUUUUGUUAUGACUAUUUAACUUCCCCCCCAAGUUUAUACAAUUACAGUCUGUCAGUGUUCAUAUCAUGUUCGGGUCAUCAGCCUCAGAAAUUAAACAUACACAGAAGGGCGACCUAUUAAUAUACCAUCCUAGGCAUAACUUGAGUAGAGCAGCACGGGGAGUGCGCGAAUGAGGACGGAGAUGGUUUUUGCCAUGUGCCUGGGAAGUCAAAGAAACGCUGGCUGAGGCAGGCCAUCCAGUGAGCAAUACAAAACCCACCUUCCCCUUCCUCUCAUCCCAUCUCAGGAAAGGUUUGUUGGAAGUAUUGCUUUGGUACGGAUUUAAGCUGUGACAGCAAGGAAAGACACAGCCUCUCAAACAACAGGCCCUGAGCCUCGUGGGCUGGACAAACAGACUACAGCUAAACGUGGCCGGAGAUCUGCACUUUGCUGUCACAGCGGAGGUGGUGGGACUCUCUGAACGGUGGGCAGCCGUCUUAAGGCUGCCAUAAAUGCAAACGGCUCUCUAAAGCUGUUACAAUAGGCUGUCGAAACCCUGACAUGCCUCAAGAUUAGGAAGAAGCAAGUGCAGUUUAUAGCUACUUGAGCCUCACCCUCCUUUCGUUUUUAUGAAUUAGAAGUAAAGCCUGUAGUGGCAUCAUCCAGCAUCUCAGCCUUAAGGCUGAAUAGCUUAAAGCCAACAGAAUUAAUUCUGGAAGUUCAGCUGGAGCCUAUGCAGCUCCUACAUUGCAGUUUAAAUGUGCUUCCAAUAUUUAGCUUUGUUUAAUGAGAGCAAGUCUGUACUAGCUUUGGCUUCUGCAGGGAUACAGCUCAUGUAUCAUCCAGCCGACAACAGAAGGGUCAUUUCGUUUCCUGUGGGUAGUGGAAAGUGAUCUGCCUUUUCACACUUACUUCUGGAAACUUGUCACAGGGAAAGUGUAAGAUCAGGCUAACGCUGUGUAAAAGAGCUGACUGAGCAAGGGUAGUGGGACCUGGCUGUUGAAGCAGCAAAUACACUUCCAUAGCUGAGCCCUGAAUCAUGUUUAUUUUCAAACCAAAGACCUCACAUUUCCAGUGAGAGAUUUGCUCAGUAAAAUGCAUGCAUUUCAUAUUUCAUUACCACAUGCUGUUUAUCUCGUAGUGGUUAAGAAACAAAGGAGUGUGGAAAGGACAGUUAUACGGGGGAGCUGUAACCAUAAAGAUUCCACUGAAUAGGAUUUUCCCUCGUUCCAAACUGUUAUCUCGCUAGAUAAAAACAUUGUGCUUUAUGAUUAAGCUAAUUGUGUUGGACAAGCCAGUCUGCAGUCCUAGAAGCCUGGAUUUUCAAAUGUGCUGAGCACUGGCAGCUGCAACCAAAGUCAGUGGGGGCAUUUAAAGUGCAAUUAAAUGCGAAGUUCUCUAAAAAUUUAGGCCAGAGGCUGUCUGUAAAAUGGGAGUAGAGAUGCUACCUUGCCUCACAGGGGUGCUGUGAACAUUUGUGGCACAGCUACUUACACUAGUAAGCAGUUACACUGAAAAGUCUGUGGAAAAAAACCUGUCUUUUUUUCAGACCAAGGUUUGGCUAUAAAUGUUAAAAUAGGGCCUUGAACCACAGACCGAACAGUGAAGAGGAAACAAAUAUGUAUGGCUUGCCCAUUUGUAGACUGAAUGGAUGACAGCUCAUGCUCCCUCCCUCGCAAAAUAGCUUAAAAAUAAUAAUAUGUAUACCGCAUGGGUUGUACAAGCAUAUCUAAUUCUAGCAUUCCCUACAGUAUUCCCCCUGAAGGGAGUGUGGGGUUAUUUUUAAAAAUUGAUGUAAUAUAUGUAUAAAUGUAGGCAAUAUGCAUAAACAACAUGUAUUUGAGUAAGAAAUCUUUGUAGACUGUCCAGAUAAAGGAGAUGAAGAUGAUUAAGGGACUGGCGCAUCUGAUGUGUGAGGAAAGUCUGAGAGAGGUAGGUCUGUUGAGACUAGAGAAGGGGAGAUGGCUCAUGGUGGGAAUCUCAUCAAUGUGUACAAAUAUGCAAAAGAAAGAUGCAAAGAAGAAAGAGGCAAACUCUUCUCAGUUGCAUCCUUUGGAAGGACAAGAGGCAAUGAGCACAAACUGAAAUGCAGGAGAUUCCAUUAAGCAGAAUGUAACAAAAAACAUUUUUACUGCAAGGGUGAUCAAAGUCUGGAGCAAGUUGCCCAGUGAGAUUUUGGAGUCUCUGUACCUGGAGAUAUUGGAAACUCAGCUGGACAAGAUCCUGAGUUACCUGUUCCCAUUGACUCUGCUUUUAGCAGGAAGUUGGCCUAGACAAUCUCCAAGAGGUCCUUUCUAACCUCAACCAUUUUAUGAGAAGCAAGGCAAUUUUUUUUCCCAAUUUCUCCUUUAUUCGCUUUCCUUGCAGUAUUGGCAGAAUAGAUCAGUUUCUAUCCUGUUCUGGGUUGGAAUUUCUGAUUUUUUUUUCUCCUUUAUCAAGAAUAUCUUUUCCUUUUGUGGAUACUGCUCUCUAAUUUUACAGGCUAAUGUAGUGUUCUACUAUUUCUCCUGAAGUUAAAACCUGUUUCUUCUUUUGUGAGUGAAGCUUCAGCACAAUAUCACCAAGUGCCCCAAUAAUAAAUAAAAAUUAAACAAAAUAUAGCAUAGAAUGUAGCAGAAACUGAAAAUAUUCUCCUUAAUGUCACUACAAAUGAAAUCUAUUUCAGUGUACUCUUUCAACUGAACAGGGAAAACAUUUGUAAAAGGUGAGGAUUAAUUUGCCCAUAACUACCCAGAAACUGAAGCAGUGACCAAGAAUGAGCGCUGACAUCCUAAUAAUAGUGUAAGGUGAAAUUAUUAUAUAAGAACAGAAAUUUAUAAUUUCAAUCAUUUGGUGGAGUCGUUCCAAGGAAACAAAAAUACCAGAGUUGAAUACUCAUAAUAACAAUAAUUAGAAUUAGCUGUAAAUAUUGCCCUGCAGCCUGCUGUUACAGUUCAGACAGUUUUGUAAUGGUUUAGAUGCUGUGCUACAGUGGUUUUUAUGCUUCUUUUCCUAAAUGUUAGAGAAAAUCUAUAUUCUGUUGCCUUAACAUAUUUCCUGCCUUUCCAUGAACGACUGUGACUGACCUACUCACUUUACAGUCAUUUUCUGAUACAUUUUCAAAUUAGUAUUUAACUAUAUAGUGACGGACAAACUCAGCAGUGUACUUUGCCAGGGGAACAUUUUUAAGUACUGCUGCAUAAAGCACGGAGAUGUAGCAAGACAUUUAAAUUAUUAACAGUUACUAUUAGCAGGCUAGAAGAUAAUUACGGUAUGAUUCACAACGCUUUGUUAUUGUAAUAACUUCUUGUAUUUGGAUGGUGGUAGCAUUCAAACAUUGUUCAGCACAAUUGCAAAAAACCUGUUAAAGUCUAUAAAUACUUCAUUGCAAGCAGAGACAGUACUGUGUCACACUACACAUGCUAAUUAUUGAAGAUCCUUAAGCCAAAUAUCUUUUUUUUCUUUCAUAUUUUCUACUUUUUUUUUUACCCCCUCUUUAACAUCAGGCUUUUAACUACUUGUUCCAGUAGGCUUUCACUGAGAAUACUUGCUUUUUUUGUAGGACUCUGGAAAAUACAACCGACUGUUACAUAUAUAUCAUGAACAGCAAAUGUCAAGUGCCUUCAAAUCUGCUGGUGAACAGCUUUCUGUAAGAGCUGCACUCAGUCCGAGGCAGGCCAGAGCAAUCCAGGCAGCUUCAGCUUCUGUUAUUUACAUUCUGCAAAAUUUAAAAAAUAGUAAAGAAACUGUGGAUGAGAUUUAUGAGGGAGUUCUUGCAGUCAUCUUACAGAAAAAGACAGAAGCCUUACUUUGGAAACCACUAGUGGAACUGUUUAUACCCAGGACAUUCCAAGCAAAAAUGAUUCCCAUGUUUCUUUAUAAUCAGGAGUCCCAGAUCGUGAGUGUGAAUAAACUUUUUUCAUCUCAGGUUAAGAUGGUUUAUCAGCUACUGGAUCUGCCACUUCUUCAGUCAGCUUUUCAAGGACUGGUUACUGAUCGUAUAUCACAUCAGUGGAAUUUAUGAGAGGAGGAGUAAAGAAAAGCAUAAUGUCACAUCUUGGGGGAAGGAAGAAGACAUUUGUCUGAAAGGCUGGCUUUAUUUUUGAAAUGGCAGCUGCUUGGAACUGUUGACAGAUUGGGAGUGUUGGAAAUCGCCCCAGGCCAGAGGAAUUAGUGAUCUGGGUUCAGGUGAAGUGGUCAAAGGUGCUCUAUAAAUGCCAUUUCCCACACAGCUAUCACCACUACAUAGUAGUACAGGUAACAGCUAUUUUUAUAACAUGUAUUGCGUUAUUUUGGAUAAGUCCCACACAGGUCAGGGGUAUGUACUUUUCCAUCAUCUUCCUCCCCUUUCACUGCAGCAAUUGCAGUAAUUUGAGACAUUCCUACUGCUAUUCCUAAUUGAAUUAGGAUGGGCUGAAGACAAGGUAUCUGGGUAGGGGUGGCAGAGAAAUAGCUCUUCUAAUCAAGAAAUAGCUUUCAGUCUUUUUCUUUCUGUUAUUUCCUGUGAGCUAAAUAUGUUGAUCAGAUUCAUGGUCACGUUGUAAGGAAUUUUCCAAGGAACAGAAAUAAAUCAAUCAAACAGGAACUGGAAAAGGGGGGAACAAGAGGUUUCAUCUAUUCAUGAGAACUUGAUACUUUCACUUCUUGCACUCUAUUCUGCUGCAUUUUAUUUAUAUUAUCAUGCAUGUUUCCAGAGAACAAGUAAGUUUUCAUUUAAUUUCAAAUGGAAAUAGUGGAAAAUGGAAAAAGCUUUCUCCCUCCAUGCACACAUAACAUGAAAUAUAUAAUUUAGUCAAUUGAAUAUAGUAUAGAAAUAAAAAUAAUUGAAGACACAUGUUUUUUAGGCAGUCUGCUUGGUUUGAACCAAUACCUCUCAACUAUCUUGUGUGAUAACUGCAAUGUCAUGUUUUGUCCUACAGUGUCCAUCCACUCCCUGAUGGUCUGAAGUACAUCAGAAGUACAGGUCAGAGCCUCAUCUUGUCUGUUAGAUUCCACUUGUGCCAAAAUCCUUGGAAAUCCAUAAAGCCCUGUCAAGUGUUAUUGUUCCCUACAGAAGUAACAGAGCUUCUUUUGUGAAUGGUUGCCUGUAUAAAUUUAAACUUGUUAGUGCCAGGUUUCUACCAUUAAGACUUAGUUAUUAAGAUCCACAGGAAAAGUGAAGAUAAAAACUGAGGAAGCUUCUGACAGGAGUGCAUGCUGUAUUUUAAGUUACGAUCCAGAUCCCUCUCUGGUUUGAUACUUAACACAGCAGUUACUUUAUUCACAAGUGAUUAGUGAAGAUUGCCCUUUCUGGUCCAGACCUAUCAGUUGGAAAAAUGCAGUAGUUUUUCCAGUAAGCUCUACCUAAGCCCAGUGGGCUAUAAAGAAAAAUGAUACCAAUCAAAGGUGUGUGGCACAACACAGAGCAGAUCAAAAAAUUGCUCUACGUUUUCUUUGCAUUGGGUAACUUCAAAGUCAAACAUCUAUAAUGUAGCAAUGUUCUAGGAAGAGCUCAUACACCUGCUGUUGAACUGGGAAGAACUGUGUUUUCACAGAGCCGUAACGAACAGCUUAGAAAACAUAGUUAUAUGUCUUAAAUGUGUUUGAUUCUUUCUUUCCAUAUGAAUUUUUUUUUCCGCUCAGUUUGGAAAUAGGACAGAAAAUUUUCUGUCUGUCAGUCCAGAAUUCAAUUUCAAACCAUGUGUUAGCAGUAAGGCUGUAGUUUCUAAGUUUUCAGGAAUAUGCUCUCCCCUGCUUUUACUUUACAGGUGACAAAAAUGCUUAAAACCUCAGCCGUUAUUGUUCUGAAUCAUUAGAAUAUAUCAAAUAAUCCGUGAUGUAAUAAUUGCUAUAGCAACUAUUCACUUUCUUUCAGUUUUUGAACCAAACAAUUGACACAUCAUAUUUUUCAUGCUAGACAAGGCUGUUUUGGCAUAAUGUAUUAAUAUAUUCUAUGGAAACAGCAGUACUCAAACUGGUACAUAUGACAUAGACUACUUUAGGCUGAGAAUAAAUUUAAGACUAGGAUAUUUAAAAUGUAUUAGUUAGCUUCUCUUUAACUGUUAUUAAAUAUUAUACAUAAUUAAACUUAAUUAAUCUAAUUAGACUUCCAACUGACAAGGGUUUCCAGUUGGCUGAAGUUUUGUAGGGCCCUUUUUGUGCAUGCCAGUAAACAUUAACCUUUUCUUUGAGCAGCUGACCCUUAAAAAGAUGUCCCACUAAGAGAUUAUAUCAUAUACAGUAUAGUCUAACCAUAAUCCUGACUGCUGAAAGGUCAAGAAUUUCCAUCAUCUUUCAAUGUUAGUAAUACCUUAGGGAGAUUUUUUUCUCUGUGUUUCUUAAGCAAAACCAUGUUUGGUGAGCUUCCUCUUCUUUGUUUCUAUUUUCUGAAUCUUGAAUUAUUAGCUGCAUAUACAAUAAAGCUGAAGGAGGUCCAAGAAGAUAUUCUGCACUUCAGACAGGAUUUAACUUCUUCCAUAGAGAAUGGUAUUCUCAGAAAGAGCCAAAUGCUAUGCUGUUCAGUGGGAAUAUUGUUCAGUUAUGAAGAGCAGAAUUUGCCCAUGUAUAUAUACACAUCUAUAUGUAUAUAGUCUAUAUUCUAAAAGUCUGUGUGACAGUCCAUUCUAAGGAGCUGUUUAGAGAUUUAAAUCACCAGUUCUUUUGUUUACCAUCAGGCCACUCAAAAUUCUCCCACAAACAGAUUUUUAUUGAUUUUUAUGGUUAAACUCUCAAAUCUCUUUCUAGGUCAAAAAAUGUUUGUAUUUCUCAUUGGAAAAGGCUCGUCAUGGGAUGAGGAGCUCUACGCAGCCCUGUACUCGAGGCAAAACAUUAAUAGCUUGACUAGUUGCAUGAAAGAAUAGACUUUGUCCAAACAGAGGUUUCAGGAAUUUAUCUCAAACAUGACAACGUAUCCAGAAAAAGGCCAAACAUCACUGGAAGCAAGACAUUUCAAUUAAUAAUACCAUUGUAAGCUGGGGUAUGACUCACGUACACUUAUAUACCUGAGCUUCCUGAGAAAAAUAUAGAUGAUAAGAGAAGAUUAUGAUACAGAGCAUAAUCUCUUCUGCAAAAGCAUGAGACCCGAUAGCUGAAGAACUGCUAACCAUUGGACCUGUGGGACUAUGGACAUUGGAUCAUUGGACUAUAGGAAUAGUUAUUCCCUGCAGAGAAAGUAAGUAUGGAAACUCAGAACAAUUUCCACUUUUGUACACAUUUCAAGACAUUAUUUUAAUGGACUAUGUGGUUGUUUUUUUUUCCCCUAACUCAUCGUGCUCCAACUCCCCUUGCAUCUAAAGACCCACGCAGUACAGCUUUGUUACAUACUUACUUGGGUAUUUUCCCUGUGAGGACCUCCACAGAAAUUCUUGCUUUCCCCUGUGCCAGCUACUUCUUUCUGCCAGUGCCCUACUAGUACCUUGCUUGUACUGAUCCAACUACCUAUGACUUCAAGCUGUAAAAUAUAUGUACAACUGCAUCAUAAUUUUAUAAUGAAUGUGACUGACCUAAGGCUUUUCUGUCAGCAGAAACCCAAAAUGACCGAUGUGCUGCUAGAAUAUUUCAGGAAAAAUGGCCACAUGCUUCAGUAAGACACUGUGGUUUGCUAAGAUAGAGGGACAUGGGAAAGAGUUAAUAACGUGCUUAAAACUAUCUUUAAUGUACCAGCAUCUAACAACCAAAAUAAGAUCAGGACUUAUUUCACAGGAUGCUAUAGAAAGGCUUCCAACACAUUGCAAGUUAAACAAAUAAAUGAAAGAAUCAAAGGGAAAACAAAGCUGCGGCAAUGUGAAGUGAGUUGCUCAAGGUCACUCAACAGCUUAGUAGCGGGACUGAAAACUGAGCACUUGAGGCCCCCCUAGAAUGCUUUUUCUGCAAAGCCAUCCACAAUUCCUACUAUCACAUAAGCCUUUUAAAACAGGGUUUUGUGCUCAUCAUCCCUAAGGUGAUGAAGUGAUAAGUCUUCUUUUAAAAACAAGAAGUACUUGAUCCUUGCAGGGGGAGCAGCAAGGCUCUUGAGAGUGUGAUAUUUCAAUGUAAAUAAACUGUAGCUACGAGGACAUAAAAGACAGACUCCUCACAGUAAACAACAACAGGUCAGCACUUUGUGCAUUGGGAGUUGGGAUAAUAAUUUCUUGUGUACACAUGAAAAAACUAAUACAGAUGUGAUUCCUUUUAAUAUGAUCAGGCCUGGGUCUAGGCUAUAACAGGUCCUCUUUGUCUGCUCUUGCUUAGGCUCUCUACAAGGAGGAACUUUGUUACUGGGUCUAGGAUGCUCUAGAAUUUCUUGCUUUUCAAAUUCUUAUGGGUAAUUUCAGCCUUUCCUGGCUGUCUCAAAUCCCUUUUGGAAAAUGUGUAUUCAAAAGGAGUUGAAAUUCAGUAAGCCAAAAAAGAAACUCUACAGAAAUGACCAAACAGUGUGUUAUCAUAUUUUCCCUCGUCACUCUUGAUUCUGAUUUAGCAACAAUUGUAAAUGCUGACCUUUCUUGCCAGCUUCUCCACAACCACCCCAGCAGCGCUAACUCAGAGUCCGCUUCCUAUUAAGCUCACGUGCAACUCUCCAGAAAGCUUCAUAAACAUGAUUUCUCCUACUUCCAGUACAGAAUCCUCAUUAGUCUCACAGACCACACACAUCUUCUAGGCAGAAGGUAAGGCAACCUGUAAUGGACAUGGCUGCCCAAACUAAUAGGAAAAGGACAAUGUCUUUUUCUUUACAUUUCUGACAUGACACAUCACAAAGAAAUGCCAGAUCAGGGUCAAGUUACACUAAGCUGCACUGUGCUUUUUGGUCUUGUGAUGUGACGUAACCUCUUAUAAGGCAAUGAAAGAAUUGUAAUGUAAAGAAAGGCUUUUGAAAGAUCUACUAGAAGGAAAUAAUUGUUGAACAUGGGAAGAAACUAAGUGGCUGGUAAUACUCAAGCACUAAGUGCUGGCUCCAAGCAGUGCUCCAGGAUUAUGCCCUGCUGGGAACAGACCAACCUGCAAGUCCCAUGUCAGCAUCAGAGGCCACCCAAUGCCACUGGCGAGCACCAGGUGGCUGGAGGGGUCUCUGUUGCCCAGCUGCCUGGGGGAAGCUGCAGUACAGAGCCCAUGAAGCCUGUACUGUCCUACGUCCCCCUGACUGUAGGGAUUCAGUCUUGUUCCUCCUUUAGGUGACUCAAUACAGUCCUAUUCCAUGCUUUUUGUUUGCCAACAGAUUAUAUCUAGUCACGCAGCUGGGGUCAGCCACGGCAUUCAUCAGGCGUGGACAAACAGCAGAGAAGCAGCAGAACUGUGAUGCUACUGGCAUAACAUGAUAAUAAGGAAUGAAAUGGGGAACCUACUCUGUUCUGGAGAUUAUGAUACUUAUAGCAGCAUUUCUAGGACUUGAGGUGGGGAGGCAGAAGUUGAGAGAGAAAAGUGCUUGGAGAAACAUCAGAAAGUCAGCCUGGACAGAAGUCGUUGCAAAAUAUAAUUGCAAGAUCUUUCUGACUGCAUUUGUUAAUACAGAGCCGGUCAAGAGUAAGAUUUAUGAAACCCAUUCCUUCUACUACUCAACAUGUACUGAAGUACUCCUAGUCUGCUGGGAUAUCAAGAAGGAAGUAAAUUCCAGGACUCCCCAUGCACACUGGGACAGUGACAGAGAUUAUGGCUAGAAGGAUAUGGAAGAGAAAGUUUUCUUCUGUUUUCACCUGCCAUUAUCCUUACAGUGGCAAACCCAUAUUUGGAAGCCUGUCGGAGCAUUAAAGAGGCCAUUAGAAAUGUAUCAUGUGACAGCACACUACAACUCUACAGUACAAGAGAUUAACAGUAAGCACUUCUGUUCUCUAAAGUUGCCAUUUUAUAGAUCCUUUCACUUUUCCAUUAAAUCAAGUCAUGUCUUUCAGACUUCCUGAUAUGAAAUGCUGCUUUGCCAUCAUGUUCACAUGUUCCUAUUGUUUCUUUUGAAUAACUACAAGAUUUCAUUAAAAUUACUAUAAAAAUAAGAAUAUGAUUGAAAGCUAGCCAGCAGAAAGCUAUGUUAUUGCCCACAGUGGGUUUACUGUUCAAAACUUCUUCCCUAACUAGCAAAGAUGCUGAGUGACUUUUUUUGAAGUUAGCUGAAUAUAUCAGAAUAAAGCUUUGCUGCACAUUCACAGGAUGCAACUCACAGGAUUUUGGAUAUCAUUAGGUUUUAGACACUAGAAAAAUUACAUUUUUGCAUUAGUACUUGAAGAAUUUUUGUUGUUGCUACCGGUUUCUCAGAACCAAAUGAUGACAUGACAAUUUCAGGUUACAAGCUGUGACAGGAUGCGUUAUUCCACUGCACUUGAGGAAUAACUCACAAAUAGCUGACCAAAUGAAAUAUGGAAUAGGAAGACAGCAUUGCCUUUUUCAACUAAUAGGGUUCUUAUGAGUUCGGAUUUAUCCAUAGACCCAACCUUAGUAUCUUCUAUGCCCUGCCUUUGGGGUUUUUUCCAGACUAAUUCACUGCAACUGUCUGAAAAGGUCCUUUUCCUAUUAAGAAAAGUUUUCACUUUUCCUUGCGAUUGUUCAGAGGGACAGCUUCUGAAGAAAGCAUUGUAAUGCAUUUACUGAAAGGCCACAGGGCUGCCAUCUGUGGGUCCCCUUUAUAGAUUGGGCCUCAUUCUGCCCACUGCCUUGGACAGCGAGUAGUGCUUGCCCUGCAGCUGGUCCCUUCCAGCCAGCGGGGCUGCGAGUGGGAGAAGGUGAGCUUCCCUGGGGACGGUGCUGGGGGCUGCUGGACCAGUAGGCCGCACGCAGGACCCAGUGGGUGCCCCAACAAAGUGAGGGUGGGCAUGAUGGCCAGUGGGUGCUUCCCAGCUGUUUUCGGCCAUGUCUCUUCCCUGCCAGCCUCAGCUGUGUUAGGGGCUCUGCCAGCUGAUUGCUUGACCUGCCCCACUCCCCACUUUGAAGGCAGAGAGGAGGCUCACAGCUGCCUUCCCCUGAGCUGGUGCUGAGGGCCCACGGCUGGGCCGCCAUCUUGUCCCCGAGUGCCUGGCCUGCUUGUGGCAGGCAAAACACAGCACGCCAGCGCUCCACUACGCUCCGCAUCCCGACAGACCAGUUCAUUCCCGCCCACACAGCCA
Molecule: long non-coding RNA, 34578 nt
Organism: Falco peregrinus (peregrine falcon)
Lineage: Eukaryota; Metazoa; Chordata; Aves; Falconiformes; Falconidae
Exons: 9
Source: RefSeq, a predicted model, not a curated record